UCCGUAGGCGGGCAGCUAAGUCAGUGGUGAAAGUCUGCAGCUCAACUGUAAAAUUGCCAUUGAUACUGGUUGUCUUGAAUUAUUAUGAAGUGGUUAGAAUAUGUAGUGUAGCGGUGAAAUGCAUAGAUAUUACAUAGAAUACCAAUUGCGAAGGCAGAUCACUAAUAAUAUAUUGACGCUGAUGGACGAAAGCGUGGGGAGCGAACAGGAUUAGAUACCCUGGUAGUCC
Molecule: ribosomal RNA, 229 nt
Filed under: uncultured bacterium
Lineage: Bacteria
Description: partial 16S ribosomal RNA
Rfam family: Bacterial small subunit ribosomal RNA
Source: RNAcentral